UUUUAUCGCGCCCCGACUUGAGUGGAGCUCUCCGCGGCGGCGGAAGCGGGAACGGAAGGCGGAAAAAGGC
RNAcentral lists this unclassified non-coding RNA (70 nucleotides) under Halpernia frigidisoli. Its description in RNAcentral is "Chryseobacterium frigidisoli Flavo-1 RNA". The record is from RNAcentral. Lineage: Bacteria; Pseudomonadati; Bacteroidota; Flavobacteriia; Flavobacteriales; Weeksellaceae.